UUCGGUUGUGCGUCCAAAAUUCUGCAUACAGUAGCACGUUUGUAUGAAGGUGUGGUUAUUCACAGGCAAAUUGUUAUAUGCUAUGGAGGUACAUUUGUGUCUUUUUGCUGAAAGCAAAACCUUUUUUAUUUUCAAUCAAAAAUAAUUGUUCUGUAAGCAACUUUUUUUCUGACACAAAGGAAGUCAAAGCGGACACCUACGAAGAUGGCAUCUCAGGUAAGCAGCACUGGGCUGUAUUGACGUAUCCGAAUAAUGACUUCUGCUGCUUUAGAUUGAACCUUCAUAUCUCAGUUAUUGUUUUCAUAUCUCUAAAAAAUAUGCUGUUUUCUUUACUCUCAGAAUGUAAGCUGACCAAGGGGUCGAAAAUGUAGACAAUACCAGAUGUUCACUGUCCGAGGAACAGGCCAUGGAAGCUUUAUUGCUGGCAAAAGUGUCCAUAACCAGAGGUUAUAUCUUCUGUUUUGGUGAACCCCUCCCGCAUCUCAACUGGCUGACACAGAGGGCACAGCAUGAUCAUAGGUAUGUUUUGAUGUGAGAGAGGAAGCCAGUCCUGUCAUCACCAUCUCACCCGCUCUUAAGAUAACUUUCAGGCCAACUGGGGGCCCAAGGCUGGUUAGGAGACACCUCAAUUAUGAUGAACUGAGAGAAUAUUAGGGUAGCACUGUAAUUCAGUGUCUGCUGUCUGCCGCUGUUCUUACCUCUUUCCCUUCCUGUCAUCUACAUCUCUCUCUCCACCUCGUGUAAUGGCUCUCGUCGGCAUGCAUAGACCAAAACGCAGCGUGGUAAAUGUUCAUGAUGUUUUAUUAAUGAAAAAACACUCGAACAAAAUAACAAAGAGAAAAAACAGUUCUGUCAGGUACAGACACUAAACCGAAAAUAACUACCCACAAAACCCAAACGAAAAAGGACAACUUAUAUAUGAUCCC
Molecule: long non-coding RNA, 926 nt
Organism: Oncorhynchus gorbuscha (pink salmon)
Lineage: Eukaryota; Metazoa; Chordata; Actinopteri; Salmoniformes; Salmonidae
Exons: 3
Source: RefSeq, a predicted model, not a curated record